RNAcentral lists this unclassified non-coding RNA (257 nucleotides) under Hevea brasiliensis (rubber tree). Lineage: Eukaryota; Viridiplantae; Streptophyta; Magnoliopsida; Malpighiales; Euphorbiaceae. The record is from RNAcentral.
AUGCAAAGUGGGUUCAGAGCAUUCAGAAUGAGAAGCAACUGGCCGAGGCAGUGAAAGAAUUAGCAGAGAGGAAAUGCUAAGGAUGCAGUUUCUUUCCAGGAAGUUUUCGGUUUCUUUAAAACAAGCUGCCAAAAUAAAAAUUGUAUGUGAUUGUGGAUAUGCACGUAUUAGCAAUCCUUCAUCACAACAAAUAUAUCAUGGAUCUUGAGCCUGUGCUCUUAGUCUGUAUGGUUCAAUGUUUAAUCUUUCUCCUGCAU